This 798-nucleotide ribosomal RNA is filed under the name Triticum aestivum (bread wheat). RNAcentral describes it as "partial small subunit ribosomal RNA". The record is from RNAcentral. Lineage: Eukaryota; Viridiplantae; Streptophyta; Magnoliopsida; Poales; Poaceae.
AUGAAAUCACGGAAGCCUAUGGCUGGUCACGGUCAGCUGCGGGAAGCAGGGCACGACAAAGGGCCUGAACCCGCCGGAGUCGGGAUGAAGGCGAGCUCCGGCGACGGGACUUGGUGGCGGGGCUGGCCAGAACUGCUGCUGGUGGCGCCCGGCGUCCCUGGUGAAGCGGCGGCCGUGGACUUGGCUGAAGAGGACGGCUCGGGCAGGAGGCGCGAGCACAGGGACUUGGCUGGCGGGGCUCCUCAACGCCAGAAGCAGUGGGCGAUGGCGCUGGUCGCAGAGCAAGGCAAGGUCGAAGGAGCAGGAGAGGGCACACAGGCGAACUUGAUGACGAGGGCCCUGGUCGCGGGCGCGCGAGGAAGAGAAGAAGGAGGCCAUGGCAGGAGGCGCAGCGGGGCUCUCCGGCAGCUCGAGGCGAAGGUGAACGGCGGCGAGGAGGCCGACGGGCUCCGGCCUGGCUCCCUGGACCGAAGGAGGAGGGAGGAAGGCAGGGGCGCGCUGGUCGACAACGAGGGCGACGGGGAGGUCUGGUGGCGCGGCACCAAGGGCAACAAGGAGGAGGUCGGGCGCGGGGGUCUCGUGGUGGAGGCGGCGAGGGGAUCGGGCAUCGAGGGGAGCUCCUCUCCCUGUCCCGAUGCGCGCAUGGAAGAGAGUGGCGGCGGGAGGAGGAACGAGGAGGAGGGGUCGAGGGGAGAUGAGGAUCGGGGCCUAGGGUGCGGUCGGGCUAGGGUUAGGAGGGGUGUGGGCCUCCAGGAGCAAAUGGACCGGCCUGGUUGGGAGACCCAAGUGGCCAGCUAG